UCGAGUCACAAAUAUUGGAACACUACAUGUAUAAUAAAGACAAUCAUUUGUUUGGCUGCAUAUUUUUUUUUUCCCUUCGAAUAUUCCAACAGCCAAAAAGAUUUUGAUGGAGUAUUCGGAACAGCCCCAUCUACUGCUGGUGCACAUUUUCAAAUUAUUAAUAAAUAUAAUUUACACUGUCAAUGUUUGUUACCCCUUUCAGUUGGUGUGAAGGCCAGCACCAAAAGCCACCAGUCGGCCUCUAAACUGGUUGUGAGGUAUGUAUAGAGCUUGGACCAGCCUAGACGUUGCAGGGGGGGGGGGAGCAGCAGUGGGAAAAAGCAGUAUUUGCCUCCCUGCCCCCCACCAGUUCCACCGACAAUUAUGAGCUAAACAGAGCCACAACGACCUUGCAGAUGCAAUGGCAUUUGCGAAACAGGGAUGUGCAAAUGCUACGGACUCGACGUCAGAUGCAGGAAAUCCUGCAAAUGCACAGAAGUCGAGUGCACAAAUAGGGAGCCACAACGACCUUGCAGAUGCAAUGGCAUUUGCGAAACAGGGAUGUGCAAAUGCUACAGACUCGACGUCAGAUGCAGGAAAUCCUGCAAAUGCACAGAAGGCGAGUGCACAAAUAGGGAGAGGAGUGUUUGGAUCUACCUAGAGGUGGGGAGGGGGGAGUGAGCUCUGAAAAUAGUGGGGGGCCAAUAGUAGCCCCCCUGGCCCCCCUCCCAGCAGUUCCACCUCCAAUGAGGUAAACAGAGGGUGCACUGGCCAAGAUGGUCAAGACCUGCAAAUUCUUAUGCCUGCAGUUGGGUCUGAAGUUGGAGAAGAGCUGUGAGCUCAAGAUGAAGGUAUGUAUAGAGCUUGGACCAGCCUAGACGUUGCGGGGGGGGGGGGGGGG
Molecule: long non-coding RNA, 880 nt
Organism: Patiria miniata (bat star)
Lineage: Eukaryota; Metazoa; Echinodermata; Asteroidea; Valvatida; Asterinidae
Exons: 7
Source: RefSeq, a predicted model, not a curated record